UACGGAAGGUCCGGGCGUUAUCCGGAUUUAUUGGGUUUAAAGGGAGCGCAGACGGCCUGUUAAGCGUGCAGUGAAAUGUGGGUGCUCAACAUCUGCACUGCUGCGUGAACUGGCGGGCUUGAGUUGUCUGGAGGUGCGCGGAAUUCGUGGUGUAGCGGUGAAAUGCUUAGAUAUCACGAGGAACCCCGAUUGCGAAGGCAGCGCACCGUUGGCACACUGACGUUGAGGCUCGAAGGUGCGGGUAU
RNAcentral lists this ribosomal RNA (245 nucleotides) under uncultured Prevotella sp. RNAcentral describes it as "partial 16S ribosomal RNA". It matches the Rfam family "Bacterial small subunit ribosomal RNA", at positions 524 to 768 of the family's 1533-position model. The record is from RNAcentral. Lineage: Bacteria; Pseudomonadati; Bacteroidota; Bacteroidia; Bacteroidales; Prevotellaceae.